GACGAACGCUGGCGGCGUGCUUAACACAUGCAAGUCGAACGGAAAGGCCCUGCUUUUGUGGGGUGCUCGAGUGGCGAACGGGUGAGUAACACGUGAGUAACCUGCCCUUGACUUUGGGAUAACUUCAGGAAACUGGGGCUAAUACCGGAUAGGAGCUCCUGCUGCAUGGUGGGGGUUGGAAAGUUUCGGCGGUUGGGGAUGGACUCGCGGCUUAUCAGCUUGUUGGUGGGGUAGUGGCUUACCAAGGCUUUGACGGGUAGCCGGCCUGAGAGGGUGACCGGCCACAUGGGGACUGAGAUACGGCCCAGAAUCCUACGGGAGGCAGCAGGGGGGAAUAUGGCACAAUGGGCGGAAGCCUGAUGCAGAAACGCCGCGUGCGGGAUGACGGCCUUCGGGUGGUAAACCGCUUUCGCAGGUGACGAAGCGUGAGUGACGGUAAUGGGUAAAGAAGCACCGGCUAACUACGUG
Molecule: ribosomal RNA, 468 nt
Filed under: uncultured bacterium
Lineage: Bacteria
Description: partial 16S ribosomal RNA
Rfam family: Bacterial small subunit ribosomal RNA
Source: RNAcentral